RNAcentral lists this ribosomal RNA (579 nucleotides) under uncultured bacterium. Its description in RNAcentral is "partial 16S ribosomal RNA". It matches the Rfam family "Bacterial small subunit ribosomal RNA", at positions 355 to 925 of the family's 1533-position model. The record is from RNAcentral.
UGGGGAAUAUUGGACAAUGGGCGCAAGCCUGAUCCAGCCAUACCGCGUGGGUGAAGAAGGCCUUCGGGUUGUAAAGCCCUUUUGUUGGGAAAGAAAUCCAGCCGGCUAAUACCUGGUUGGGAUGACGGUACCCAAAGAAUAAGCACCGGCUAACUUCGUGCCGGCAGCCGCGGUAAUACGAAGGGUGCAAGCGUUACUCGGAAUUACUGGGCGUAAAGCGUGCGUAGGUGGUCGUUUAAGUCCGUUGUGAAAGCCCUGGGCUCAACCUGGGAACUGCAGUGGAUACUGGGCGACUAGAGUGUGGUAGAGGGUAGCGGAAUUCCUGGUGUAGCAGUGAAAUGCGUAGAGAUCAGGAGGAACAUCCAUGGCGAAGGCAGCUACCUGGACCAACACUGACACUGAGGCACGAAAGCGUGGGGAGCAAACAGGAUUAGAUACCCUGGUAGUCCACGCCCUAAACGAUGCGAACUGGAUGUUGGGUGCAAUUUGGCACGCAGUAUCGAAGCUAACGCGUUAAGUUCGCCGCCUGGGGAGUACGGUCGCAAGACUGAAACUCAAAGGAAUUGACGGGGUCAUAGC